UGAACGCUGGCGGCAGGCUUAACACAUGCAAGUCGAACGGUAACAGAGAAUAGCUUGCUAUUUUGCUGACGAGUGGCGGACGGGUGAGUAAUGCUUGGGAAUAUGCCUUAUGGUGGGGGACAACAGUUGGAAACGACUGCUAAUACCGCAUAACAUCUCCGGAUCAAAGUGGGGGACCUUCGGGCCUCACGCCAUAAGAGUAGCCCAAGUGGGAUUAGCUAGUUGGUAAGGUAAUGGCUUACCAAGGCGACGAUCCCUAGUUGGUCUUAGAGGAUGACCAGCCACACUGGAACUGAGACACGGUCCAGACUCCUACGGGAGGCAGCAGUGGGGAAUAUUGCACAAUGGGCGCAAGCCUGAUGCAGCCAUGCCGCGUGUGUGAAGAAGGCUUUCGGGUUGUAAAGCACUUUCAGCGAGGAGGAAAGGUUGUACUUUAAUAGAGUGCAGCUGUGACGUUACUCGCAGAAGAAGCACCGGCUAACUCCGUGCCAGCAGCCGCGGUAAUACGGAGGGUGCGAGCGUUAAUCGGAAUUACUGGGCGUAAAGCGCGCGUAGGUGGUUAAUUAAGUCAGAUGUGAAAUCCCAGGGCUCAACCUUGGAACUGCAUUUGAAACUGGUUGACUAGAGUUUUGUAGAGGGUGGUAGAAUUUCAGGUGUAGCGGUGAAAUGCGUAGAGAUCUGAAGGAAUACCAGUGGCGAAGGCGGCCACCUGGACAAAGACUGACACUGAGGCGCGAAGGCGUGGGGAGCAAACGGGAUUAGAUACCCCGGUAGUCCACGCAGUAAACGAUGUCUAUUAGAAUUUUGUGGCUAUAUGCCGUGGGAUUCAAAGCUAACGCAUUAAAUAGACC
Molecule: ribosomal RNA, 851 nt
Filed under: uncultured Psychromonas sp.
Lineage: Bacteria; Pseudomonadati; Pseudomonadota; Gammaproteobacteria; Alteromonadales; Psychromonadaceae
Description: bacterial SSU rRNA
Rfam family: Bacterial small subunit ribosomal RNA
Source: RNAcentral